This 814-nucleotide ribosomal RNA is filed under the name Fidelibacterota bacterium. RNAcentral describes it as "partial 23S ribosomal RNA". It matches the Rfam family "Bacterial large subunit ribosomal RNA", at positions 1 to 859 of the family's 2925-position model. Lineage: Bacteria; Pseudomonadati; Fidelibacterota. The record is from RNAcentral.
GUUAUAUGAUCAAGUAAAGGAAGAGCACAAGGCGGAUGCCUUGGCAGCAUAAGGCGAUGAAGGACGUAAUAACCUGCGAUAAGCCUCGGGGAGCUGGUAAAUAAGCUUCGAUCCGAGGAUUUCCGAAUGGGAAAACCCAAUACACAUAAGUGUAUUAUCUUAUACUGAAUACAUAGGUAUAAGAGGCAAACCUAGGGAACUGAAACAUCUAAGUACCUAGAGGAAAAGAAAUCAACAGAGAUUCCGGUAGUAGCGGCGAGCGAAACCGGACUAGCCCUUAAGCUUUUUCAAGAUUAGCAAAACAGAUUGGAAAGUCUGGCCAUAGUAGGUGAUAGCCCUGUAUGCGAAAAUCUUUUAAGAGUGAAAUCGAGUAGGUCGGGACACGUGAAAUCUUGACUGAACAUGGGGGGACCAUCCUCCAAGGCUAAAUACUCUCAGCUGACCGAUAGUGAACCAGUACCGUGAGGGAAAGGCGAAAAGAACCCCGGCAAGGGGAGUGAAAUAGAACCUGAAACCUUGUGCUUACAAGCAGUCGGAGCAGACUUGUUCUGUGACGGCGUACCUUUUGUAUAAUGGGUCAACGACUUAAUUUCAGUAGCAAGCUUAACCGUUUAGGGGAGGCGUAGGGAAACCGAGUCUUAAUAGGGCGCUCAGUUGCUGGAAUUAGACCCGAAACCGGGUGAUCUAUCCAUGGCCAGGGUGAAGGUUAGGUAACACUGACUGGAGGCCCGAACCCACUUAUGUUGAAAAAUGAGGGGAUGAGCUGUGGAUAGGAGUGAAAGGCUAAUCAAACCCGGAGAUAGCUGGUUCUCCU